This 218-nucleotide ribosomal RNA is filed under the name uncultured bacterium. Its description in RNAcentral is "partial 16S ribosomal RNA". It matches the Rfam family "Bacterial small subunit ribosomal RNA", at positions 57 to 305 of the family's 1533-position model. The record is from RNAcentral.
GCAAGUCGAGCGCACCUUCGGGUGAGCGGCGGACGGGUUAGUAACGCGUGGGAAUAUACCCAAUGGUACGGAAUAGCCUCUGGAAACGGAGAGUAAUACCGUAUGUGCCCUUCGGGGGAAAGAUUUAUCGGAGAAGGAUUAGCCCGCGUAAGAUUAGAUAGUUGGUGGGGUAAUGGCCUACCAAGUCUACGAUCUUUAGCUGGUUUUAGAGGAUGAUC